Molecule: ribosomal RNA, 1437 nt
Filed under: uncultured organism
Description: 16S ribosomal RNA
Rfam family: Bacterial small subunit ribosomal RNA
Source: RNAcentral
GAACGCUAGCUACAGGCUUAACACAUGCAAGUCGAGGGGCAGCAUGGUCUUAGCUUGCUAAGGCCGAUGGCGACCGGCGCACGGGUGAGUAACACGUAUUCAACCUGCCGUCUACUCUUGGACAGCCUUCUGAAAGGAAGAUUAAUACAAGAUGGCAUCAUGAGUCCGCAUGUUCACAUGAUUAAAGGUAUUCCGGUAGACGAUGGGGAUGCGUUCCAUUAGAUAGUAGGCGGGGUAACGGCCCACCUAGUCUUCGAUGGAUAGGGGUUCUGAGAGGAAGGUCCCCCACAUUGGAACUGAGACACGGUCCAAACUCCUACGGGAGGCAGCAGUGAGGAAUAUUGGUCAAUGGGCGAGAGCCUGAACCAGCCAAGUAGCGUGAAGGAUGACUGCCCUAUGGGUUGUAAACUUCUUUUAUAAAGGAAUAAAGUCGGGUAUGCAUACCCGUUUGCAUGUACUUUAUGAAUAAGGAUCGGCUAACUCCGUGCCAGCAGCCGCGGUAAUACGGAGGAUCCGAGCGUUAUCCGGAUUUAUUGGGUUUAAAGGGAGCGUAGAUGGAUGUUUAAGUCAGUUGUGAAAGUUUGCGGCUCAACCGUAAAAUUGCAGUUGAUACUGGAUAUCUUGAGUGCAGUUGAGGCAGGCGGAAUUCGUGGUGUAGCGGUGAAAUGCUUAGAUAUCACGAAGAACUCCGAUUGCGAAGGCAGCCUGCUAAGCUGCAACUGACAUUGAGGCUCGAAAGUGUGGGUAUCAAACAGGAUUAGAUACCCUGGUAGUCCACACGGUAAACGAUGAAUACUCGCUGUUUGCGAUAUACAGCAAGCGGCCAAGCGAAAGCGUUAAGUAUUCCACCUGGGGAGUACGCCGGCAACGGUGAAACUCAAAGGAAUUGACGGGGGCCCGCACAAGCGGAGGAACAUGUGGUUUAAUUCGAUGAUACGCGAGGAACCUUACCCGGGCUUAAAUUGCAGAUGAAUUACGGUGAAAGCCGUAAGCCGCAAGGCAUCUGUGAAGGUGCUGCAUGGUUGUCGUCAGCUCGUGCCGUGAGGUGUCGGCUUAAGUGCCAUAACGAGCGCAACCCUUGUUGUCAGUUACUAACAGGUUCCGCUGAGGACUCUGACAAGACUGCCAUCGUAAGAUGUGAGGAAGGUGGGGAUGACGUCAAAUCAGCACGGCCCUUACGUCCGGGGCUACACACGUGUUACAAUGGGGGGUACAGAGGGCCGCUACCACGCGAGUGGAUGCCAAUCCCAAAAACCUCUCUCAGUUCGGACUGGAGUCUGCAACCCGACUCCACGAAGCUGGAUUCGCUAGUAAUCGCGCAUCAGCCACGGCGCGGUGAAUACGUUCCCGGGCCUUGUACACACCGCCCGUCAAGCCAUGGGAGCCGGGGGUACCUGAAGUGCGUAACCGCGAGGAGCGCCCUAGGGUAAAACUGGU